RNAcentral lists this ribosomal RNA (497 nucleotides) under uncultured bacterium. RNAcentral's name for it is "partial 16S ribosomal RNA". It matches the Rfam family "Bacterial small subunit ribosomal RNA", at positions 28 to 507 of the family's 1533-position model. The record is from RNAcentral.
GAUGAACGCUGGCGGCGUGCCUAAUACAUGCAAGUCGAGCGAACAGACGAGGAGCUUGCUCCUCUGACGUUAGCGGCGGACGGGUGAGUAACACGUGGAUAACCUACCUAUAAGACUGGGAUAACGUCGGGAAACCGGAGCUAAUACCGGAUAAUAUAUUGAACCGCAUGGUUCAAUAGUGAAAGAGGGUUUUGCUGUCACUUAUAGAGGGAUCCGCGCCGCAUUAGCUAGUUGGUAAGGUAACGGCUUACCAAGGCAACGAUGCGUAGCCGACCUGAGAGGGUGAUCGGCCACACUGGAACUGAGACACGGUCCAGACUCCUACGGGAGGCAGCAGUAGGGAAUCUUCCGCAAUGGGCGAAAGCCUGACGGAGCAACGCCGCGUGAGUGAUGAAGGUCUUCGGAUCGUAAAACUCUGUUAUUAGGGAAGAACAAAUGUGUAAGUAACUAUGCACGUCUUGACGGUACCUAAUCAGAAAGCCACGGCUAACUACGUG